UUUAAAGUGUAAUGUAAGUCGCUUUGGAUAAAAGCGUCUGCUAGAUGACCUGUA
Regulatory RNA element from Gasterosteus aculeatus (three-spined stickleback), 54 nucleotides. It matches the Rfam family "UnaL2 LINE 3' element". Rfam says of the family: The eel long interspersed element (LINE) UnaL2 and its partner short interspersed element (SINE) share a conserved 3' tail containing a stem-loop that is critical for their retrotransposition. Presumably, the first step of retrotransposition is the recognition of their 3' tails by UnaL2-encoded reverse transcriptase. Lineage: Eukaryota; Metazoa; Chordata; Actinopteri; Perciformes; Gasterosteidae. The record is from Rfam.